This 256-nucleotide ribosomal RNA is filed under the name uncultured bacterium. Its description in RNAcentral is "partial 16S ribosomal RNA". It matches the Rfam family "Bacterial small subunit ribosomal RNA", at positions 98 to 354 of the family's 1533-position model. The record is from RNAcentral.
CGGGACGGGUGAGUAACGCGUGGAGAACCUGCCGUAUACUGGGGGAUAACACUUAGAAAUAGGUGCUAAUACCGCAUAAGCGCACAGCUUCGCAUGAAGCAGUGUGAAAAACUCCGGUGGUAUACGAUGGAUCCGCGUCUGAUUAGCUUGUUGGCGGGGUAAAGGCCCACCAAGGCGACGAUCAGUAGCCGGCCUGAGAGGGUGAACGGCCACAUUGGGACUGAGACACGGCCCAAACUCCUACGGAAGGCAGCAG